CCUACGGGAGGCAGCAGUGGGGAAUAUUGCACAAUGGGGGAAACCCUGAUGCAGCCACGCCGCGUGAGUGAUGAAGUAUUCCGGUUUGUAAAACUCUUUCAGAGGGGAAGAAAAUGAUGAUACCUGACUAAGAAGCACCGGCUAAAUACUUGCCGCCAGCCGCGGUAGU
RNAcentral lists this ribosomal RNA (169 nucleotides) under uncultured rumen bacterium. Its description in RNAcentral is "partial 16S ribosomal RNA". It matches the Rfam family "Bacterial small subunit ribosomal RNA", at positions 338 to 524 of the family's 1533-position model. The record is from RNAcentral.